CACUAUUCCAGGCAGCAGAUUCUGUAAUCAGCUCUGUCAACACAGUUUGCAUUCAUACUCAAGUACUAUGAUUUCUCUAGGCUUCAACACUCUCAUUAGCAAGACAAGGAAUUUGGAUUUUGUAUCAAGUGGCGUAAUCUUGAUUAUAUUGUGCUAAUGAACAGCCACUAAAUAUCAUUGUAUAUGUACCUGUUGGCUACCUUUGUAAUUAUUGAAACACAUUUUAUUUCUUCUUUCCUGUAGAUACUCUGCACAAGUCCGCUGGAGUCACUUUUCCUGCUUUGUCAUCAUCCUCACUCCAAUACUCAAGGCCAACAUCACCUCUUAAAGGUACAAUUGCCAUUGUCUUCAAGCUGUUCUUUCUGCUUCCAAUUCUGUUCCCGCUGUACUAUUGUAUUGUAAGAAGACAGAUAUGAGAAUUGCUAAGCUUAAUAAAUCUACUUAUGUUUGAAUUUGCA
RNAcentral lists this long non-coding RNA (458 nucleotides) under Oryctolagus cuniculus (rabbit). Its description in RNAcentral is "lncRNA (ENSOCUG00000030434.1)". The record is from RNAcentral. Lineage: Eukaryota; Metazoa; Chordata; Mammalia; Lagomorpha; Leporidae.